AUGCUAGGGAGACGGGCUGGACGCAAGGAGAGGACUAGGAUCCUCCUGUACUGCUUCUUCUAUCAAUGUAUUUCUUCCCCAUGGAGCAGAUCUGAACUACACAACCCCUACGCCUUCUUGCUCAUAUUAGAGGAUCCAAAAAAUAGACGCCAUAUUAUACUGGCACUAGAGCUAUGUGGUUUGCUCUCUGAUUGCUCUCAACCAUGUGUUCAAAUUUUUGUGCAGAUGCAGCAGGAAAAUGCAAUCUCUCUUUGGUUCAGACUUGAGAUAUGUUUUACUAUGGCUUUAGAUAUGCGCAGAUGCAUGCUAGUGCUAGUGCAGAUGUUGAGGAAAUUAUAG
This 339-nucleotide ribosomal RNA is filed under the name Triticum aestivum (bread wheat). RNAcentral's name for it is "partial small subunit ribosomal RNA". The record is from RNAcentral. Lineage: Eukaryota; Viridiplantae; Streptophyta; Magnoliopsida; Poales; Poaceae.